GAGCCUCAUAAAGCUUGUGUGCCCUGUGUUG
RNAcentral lists this non-coding RNA (31 nucleotides) under Rattus norvegicus (Norway rat). The record is from RNAcentral. Lineage: Eukaryota; Metazoa; Chordata; Mammalia; Rodentia; Muridae.